Molecule: ribosomal RNA, 182 nt
Filed under: uncultured bacterium
Lineage: Bacteria
Description: partial 16S ribosomal RNA
Rfam family: Bacterial small subunit ribosomal RNA
Source: RNAcentral
CAUGAAGCUGGAAUCGCUAGUAAUCGCGAAUCAGAAUGUCGCGGUGAAUACGUUCCCGGGUCUUGUACACACCGCCCGUCACACCAUGGGAGUCAGUAACGCCCGAAGUCAGUGACCCAACCGUAAGGAGGGAGCUGCCGAAGGCGGGACCGGUAACUGGGGUGAAGUCGUAACAAGGUAUC